GACGAACGCUGGCGGCGUGCUUAACACAUGCAAGUCGAACGAGGUCCACCGCGUAGCAAUACAAGGGAAGACCUAGUGGCGAACAGGUGCGUAACACGUGAGGAACUUGUCCCGGUCUCUGGGAUAACAGUUGGAAACGACUGCUAAUACCGGAUGACGUCGGAGCAUCGCAUGGUGCGCUGACGAAAGGGUUACUGGAUCGGGAGAGCCUCGCGGCCUAUCAGCUUGUUGGUGGGGUAACGGCCUACCAAGGCAUCGACGGGUAGCUGGUCUGAGAGGAUGAUCAGCCACACUGGGACUGAGACACGGCCCAGACUUCUACGGGAGGCAGCAGUGGGGAAUCUUGCGCAAUGGGCGAAAGCCUGACGCAGCAACGCCGCGUGCGGGAAGAAGGCCCUCGGGUUGUAAACCGCUUUCAGCAGGAACGAAAAUGACGGUACUUGCAGAAGAAGGUGCGGCU
RNAcentral lists this ribosomal RNA (460 nucleotides) under uncultured bacterium. RNAcentral describes it as "bacterial SSU rRNA". It matches the Rfam family "Bacterial small subunit ribosomal RNA", at positions 28 to 498 of the family's 1533-position model. The record is from RNAcentral.